RNAcentral lists this long non-coding RNA (211 nucleotides) under Elaeis guineensis (African oil palm). RNAcentral's name for it is "long non-coding RNA (EGUI_LNC000298)". The record is from RNAcentral. Lineage: Eukaryota; Viridiplantae; Streptophyta; Magnoliopsida; Arecales; Arecaceae.
GGAUGCGAUUUGGUGGACCCGAGUCUUGCUGCAUAUUUUCAAUCCUUUUAGUUUUGUUAGGAAGAAAGAAAGAAAAAUAAAAGGAGAUCAUCACAUCGUUAUGGCCACUUUAUCUUCGUUGUCUUUGUUCUGAAUAAUGUUGGGAUUCAUUAAAGGUCAACAUCUUGAGAAAAAUUUAAAUGAUGCAUCUCCUAACAAAGCAUUAGCCGAC